This 282-nucleotide ribosomal RNA is filed under the name uncultured bacterium. RNAcentral describes it as "partial 16S ribosomal RNA". It matches the Rfam family "Bacterial small subunit ribosomal RNA", at positions 1092 to 1373 of the family's 1533-position model. The record is from RNAcentral.
ACGAGCGCACCCUUGUCUUUAGUUGCCAACAGGUCAUGCUGGGUACUCUAAAGAGACUGCCGUCGUCAAGACGGAGGAAGGUGGGGAUGACGUCAAGUCAUCAUGGCCCUUAUAUCCCGGGCUGCACACGUGCUACAAUGGUCGGUACAAAGGGAUGCUAAACCGCAAGGCGGAGCGAAACCCAAAAAGCCGAUCUCAGUUCAGAUUGGAGGCUGAAACCCGCCUCCAUGAAGUAGGAAUCGCUAGUAAUCGCGGAUCAGCUACGCCGCGGUGAAUAUGUUC